Molecule: ribosomal RNA, 638 nt
Filed under: Dactylosternum marginale
Lineage: Eukaryota; Metazoa; Arthropoda; Insecta; Coleoptera; Hydrophilidae
Description: eukaryotic LSU rRNA
Rfam family: Eukaryotic large subunit ribosomal RNA
Source: RNAcentral
GAGUCUAGCAUGUGCGCGAGUCAUUGGGAUGAACUAAACCUAAAGGCGCAAUGAAAGUGAAGGUCCGCCCCGCGCGGACCGAGGGAGGAUGGGCCGCGUCACGAUGCGGCCCCGCACUCCCGGGGCGUCUCGCUCUCAUCGCGAGAAGAGGCGCACCCAGAGCGUACACGCUGGGACCCGAAAGAUGGUGAACUAUGCCUGGUCAGGACGAAGUCAGGGGAAACCCUGAUGGAGGUCCGUAGCGAUUCUGACGUGCAAAUCGAUCGUCGGAACUGGGUAUAGGGGCGAAAGACUAAUCGAACCAUCUAGUAGCUGGUUCCCUCCGAAGUUUCCCUCAGGAUAGCUGGCGCUCGCUUUGCGAGUCUCAUCCGGUAAAGCGAAUGAUUAGAGGCAUUGGGGUCGAAACGGCCUCAACCUAUUCUCAAACUUUAAAUGGGUGAGAUCUCCGGCUUGCUCGAACGUGAAGCCGCGAGAUAUAUUUCAAGGAUCAGAGUGCCAAGUGGGCCACUUUUGGUAAGCAGAACUGGCGCUGUGGGAUGAACCAAACGCAGAGUUAAAGCGCCUAAAUCGACGCUUAUGGGAUACCAUGAAAGGCGUUGGUAACUUAAGACAGCAGGACGGUGGCCAUGGAAGUCGGA